RNAcentral lists this unclassified non-coding RNA (211 nucleotides) under plant metagenome. RNAcentral's name for it is "partial contains small subunit ribosomal RNA, internal transcribed spacer 1, and 5.8S ribosomal RNA". The record is from RNAcentral.
UUUCCGUAGGGGAACCUGCGGAAGGAUCAUUCAUAAUAAAGUGUUUUAUGGCACUUUUUAAAAAUCCAUAUCCACCUUGUGUGCAAUGUUAGAUCUCGUCAAUCUUGGCGAGAUUUUUAUACAUCAACUCAUUCUUUAACUAAUUUGUCUGAAAAAUAUUAUGAAUACUUAAUUCAAAAUACAACUUUCAACAACGGAUCUCUUGGCUCUC